UGGGGAAUAUUGCACAAUGGGCGCAAGCCUGAUGCAGCCAUGCCGCGUGUGUGAAGAAGGCCUUCGGGUUGUAAAGCACUUUCAGCGAGGAGGAAGGUGGUGAGCUUAAUACGCUCAUCAAUUGACGUUACUCGCAGAAGAAGCACCGGCUAACUCCGUGCCAGCAGCCGCGGUAAUACGGAGGGUGCAAGCGUUAAUCGGAAUUACUGGGCGUAAAGCGCACGCAGGCGGUUUGUUAAGUCAGAUGUGAAAUCCCCGGGCUCAACCUGGGAACUGCAUUUGAAACUGGCAAGCUAGAGUCUCGUAGAGGGGGGUAGAAUUCCAGGUGUAGCGGUGAAAUGCGUAGAGAUCUGGAGGAAUACCGGUGGCGAAGGCGGCCCCCUGGACGAAGACUGACGCUCAGGUGCGAAAAGCGUGGGGAGCAAACAGGAUUAGAUAACCCCUGGUAGUCCACGCUGUAAAACGAUGUCGAUUUUGGAGGUUGUGCCCUUGAGGCGUGGC
This 501-nucleotide ribosomal RNA is filed under the name uncultured bacterium. RNAcentral describes it as "partial 16S ribosomal RNA". It matches the Rfam family "Bacterial small subunit ribosomal RNA", at positions 355 to 843 of the family's 1533-position model. The record is from RNAcentral.